AUCAGUAGCCGGUCUGAGAGGAUGAACGGCCACAUUGGGACUGAGACACGGCCCAGACUCCUACGGGAGGCAGCAGUGGGGAAUCUUCCGCAAUGGACGAAAGUCUGACGGAGCAACGCCGCGUGAGUGAAGAAGGUCUUCGGAUUGUAAAGCUCUGUUAUACGGGACGAAAAAGACGGAUGCCAACAGUACCCGUCCGUGACGGUACCGUAAGAGAAAGCCACGGCUAACUACGUGCCAGCAGCCGCGGUAAAU
This 255-nucleotide ribosomal RNA is filed under the name uncultured Veillonellaceae bacterium. RNAcentral's name for it is "partial 16S ribosomal RNA". It matches the Rfam family "Bacterial small subunit ribosomal RNA", at positions 279 to 525 of the family's 1533-position model. Lineage: Bacteria; Bacillati; Bacillota; Negativicutes; Veillonellales; Veillonellaceae. The record is from RNAcentral.